AGCGAACGUUUGCGGCGGGCUUAACACAUGCAAGUCGAACGGGCUGUUCCUUCGGGGGCAGUCAAUGGCGCACGGGUGCGUAACACGUAGGUAAUCAACCCUCUGGUUGGGGAUAACACUUCGAAAGGAGUGCUAAUACCCGGUAUGGCGCAGCGGUCUUCGGAUCGCGGCGAGAAAGACCCGCAAGGGUUGCCAGAGGACGAGCCUGCGGCCCAUCAGCUAGUUGGCGAGGUAACGGCUCACCAAGGCGAAGACGGGUAGCUGGUCUGAGAGGAUGAUCAGCCACACUGGAACUGAGACACGGCCCAGACUCCUACGGGAGGCAGCAGUGGGGAAUUUUGGACAAUGGGCGCAAGCCUGAUCCAGCAAUGCCGCGUGUAGGAAGAAUGCCCUAUGGGUUGUAAACUACUUUUAUUGGGGAAGAAACCCUUCUACGUGUAGAAGGCUGACGGUACCCAAGGAAUAAGGACCGGCUAACUCCGUGCCAGCAGCCGCGGUAAAGUCUAGCA
This 509-nucleotide ribosomal RNA is filed under the name uncultured bacterium. Its description in RNAcentral is "bacterial SSU rRNA". It matches the Rfam family "Bacterial small subunit ribosomal RNA", at positions 29 to 532 of the family's 1533-position model. The record is from RNAcentral.